RNAcentral lists this ribosomal RNA (253 nucleotides) under uncultured bacterium. RNAcentral's name for it is "partial 16S ribosomal RNA". It matches the Rfam family "Bacterial small subunit ribosomal RNA", at positions 524 to 776 of the family's 1533-position model. The record is from RNAcentral.
GACAGAGGGGGCAAGCGUUGCUCGGAAUCACUGGGCGUAAAGGGCGCGUAGGCGGGAUGGCAAGUCAGUCGUGAAAUCCUUCGGCCCAACCGAAGAACGUCGGCUGAUACUGCCGUUCUUGAGGGAUGCAGAGGAGACUGGAAUUCCCGGUGUAGCGGUGAAAUGUGUAGAGAUCGGGAGGAACACCGGUGGCGAAGGCGGCCCCCUGGACCGGUACUGACGCUGAGGCGCGAAAGCGUGGGUAGCAAACGGG